This 490-nucleotide ribosomal RNA is filed under the name uncultured bacterium. RNAcentral describes it as "partial 16S ribosomal RNA". It matches the Rfam family "Bacterial small subunit ribosomal RNA", at positions 28 to 507 of the family's 1533-position model. The record is from RNAcentral.
GAUGAACGCUAGCUACAGGCUUAACACAUGCAAGUCGAGGGGCAGCGGGAUUGAAGCUUGCUUCAAUUGCCGGCGACCGGCGCACGGGUGAGUAACGCGUAUCCAACCUUCCGUACACUCAGGGAUAGCCUUUCGAAAGAAAGAUUAAUACCCGAUGGUAUGAUGAGAUUGCAUGAUAUCAUCAUUAAAGAUUUAUCGGUGUACGAUGGGGAUGCGUUCCAUUAGGUAGUAGGCGGGGUAACGGCCCACCUAGCCAACGAUGGAUAGGGGUUCUGAGAGGAAGGUCCCCCACAUUGGAACUGAGACACGGUCCAAACUCCUACGGGAGGCAGCAGUGAGGAAUAUUGGUCAAUGGACGAGAGUCUGAACCAGCCAAGUAGCGUGAAGGAUGAAGGUCCUACGGAUUGUAAACUUCUUUUAUAAGGGAAUAAACCCUCCCACGUGUGGGAGCUUGUAUGUACCUUAUGAAUAAGCAUCGGCUAACUCCGUG